RNAcentral lists this ribosomal RNA (450 nucleotides) under uncultured bacterium. RNAcentral describes it as "partial 16S ribosomal RNA". It matches the Rfam family "Bacterial small subunit ribosomal RNA", at positions 338 to 795 of the family's 1533-position model. The record is from RNAcentral.
CCUACGGGUGGCAGCAGUAAGGAAUAUUGGACAAUGCCCGCAAGGGUGAUCCAGCCAUGCCGCGUGCAGGAAGACGGACCUAUGGUUUGUAAACUGCUUUUGAACAAGAGAAAACCCCCUUACGUGUAAGGGGCUGAUAGUAUUGUUAGAAUAAGCAUCGGCUAACUUCGUGCCAGCAGCCGCGGUAAGACGAAGGAUGCAAGCGUUAUCCGGAUUCAUUGGGUUUAAGGCGAGCUGAGACGGCUGUGGUGAAAUCUUCUCGCUUAACGAGAAAACUGCCAUUGAUACUGUCAAGCUUGAGUACAGUUGCCGUUGGCGGAAUAUGACAUGUAGUGGUGAAAUACAUAGAGAUGUCAUAGAACACCGAUUGCGAAGGCAGCUAACGAAACUGUAACUGACGCUGAGGCUCGAAAGUGCGGGGAACAAACAGGAUUAGAUACCCUGGUAGUC